GCAAAUAAGUGCAGAUGGUGGAUGCCUUGGUAUGGAAUGACGAUGAAGGACGUAGCAGCCUGCGAUAAGCCUCGGUGAGGUGGCAAGCAACCUUUGACCCGGGGAUAUCCGAAUGGGGUAACCCAAUCUGAUGGAAGAUCAGAUUAUCAGCCGCUGAAUUCAUAGGCGGUUAGAAGACAACCUGGGGAAGUGAAACAUCUCAGUACCCAGAGGAAGAGAAAACACCGAUACGUGGUUCUGUUGCUAUCACUCGCGCAAACGUUUGUGAGUGGUAGUAGCAGUGCCACAUAAUUCCCGGAGUAGUGGCGAGCGAAACGGGACCAGCCCAAACUUAGAGUAGCGUCUUGAGAGUGAAUGAUUCUCAAGGGGAGAAUUAGAAAUCAAAACUUUCCUAGUCGAAUGGCCUGGAACGGCCAGCCAAAGAAGGUGACAGCCCUGUAGGCGAAAGGAGUUUUGGGCUCCUAGUUAUUAUUCUUGAGUACCACGGGACUCGUGAAAUCCAGUGGGAAGCAAGCGCGACUAUGCGUUAAGGCUAAAUACAUUCCAUAACCGAUAGUGAACUAGUACCGUGAGGGAAAGGUGAAAAGCACCCCGGUGAGGGGGAUGAAAUAGUACCUGAAACCAUCUGCUUACAAGGAGUCAGAGCGCUUACCACUUCAGCGUAACGAGCUGUAGGCGAACCUACGCUGAAGUGGUGCGUGAUGGCGUGCCUAUUGAAGAAUGAGCCAACGAGUUAGCUGGUAGUAGCUGAUUAAGUCCUACGGGACGUAGUCAAAGUGAAAGCGAGGCUUAACAGCCGUACUGAGUUUGAAAAGCGAUGCGUGUAUUUUCACGCCGCGCUUUUCUUACUCAAAAGCUGCUAUCACUAGACCCGAAACCGGGUGACCUAGCCAUGACCAGGGUGAAGCACAGGUAACACUGUGUGGAGGCCCGAACCCACGCGCCGUGCAAAACGCGGGGAUGAGUUGUGGCUCGCAGAGAAAUUCUAAUCGAACUCGGUAAUAGCUGGUUCUCCUCGAAAUAGUUUUAGGACUAGCCUGUUCCAUCGUUCCUGAUGGUAGAGCACUGAAUGGGUUUCCAUGGCGUAAGCCUAGGCGAUCCAACCAAACUCCGAAUGUCAGGAAACGUAAGGAAUGGAGUCAGAGCGUGAGGGCUAAGCUUCACCGCUCAAAAGGGAAACAGCCCAUGAUCACCAAAUAAGGUCCCUAAAUUUCAGCUAAGUGUUAAAGGCGGUCUCGUCGCUUAAACAACCAGGAGGUUGGCUUAGAAGCAGCCACCCUUUAAAGAAAGCGUAACAGCUCACUGGUCUAGCGCUGGGGCGCCGAAAAUGUACCGGGGCUAAAGCUGAAUACCGAAUUUGUGGGCCCGUCGUAAGACGGGCGGUAGAGGAGCGUCCUCUGCUGCCGUGAAGCCCCAGCCGUGAGGCGGGGUGGAGCGCAGAGGAGUGCGAAUGUUGGCAUAAGUAGCAAAAAGACUAGUGAAAACCUAGUCCACCGUAAACCUAAGGUUUCCUGGGCAACGCAAAUCGACCCAGGGUGAGGCGGGCCUAAGGCGAGGCUGAAAAGCGUAGCCGAUGGACAGCAGGUUAAUAUUCCUGCCCCGCCAUUAAGUUUCAAUGGGGUGACGUCGUUUUUAAGGUUCUGCGCGAUUUGGUUAUGCGCGUGUACCGUGAAGCCGUGCCUGGUAGGUAAAUCCGCCAGGAUAAUCGGCAGGCGCGGGACGUAGGGAAAGGGGCAACCCCGACCCGACAGAACUGGCGAGACGGCCUAGAAAAACCUCUAGAGUUAACUUAAUGGUGACCGUACCGGAAACCGACACAGGUGGGUGAGGCGAGUAGCCUCAGGUGUACGAGAGAACCCUUGUUUAGGAACUCGGCAAUACAACGGCCGUAACUUCGGAAUAAGGCCUACCCGUCGCAAGACGGGUCGCAGUAAAAGACGUCAACCGACUGUUUAUCAAAAACACAGGUCCCUGCAAAGCCGCAAGGCAACGUAUAGGGGCUGAUGCCUGGCCAGUGUCAGAACGUUAAGGCAAGAGGUCAUUCCGCCGCAAGGCGGAGGCAGCCUUGAACUGAAGCGCUGAUGAACGCCGGCGGUAACUAUAACCGUCCUAAGGUAGCGAAAUUCCUUGUCGGGUAAGUUCCGACCUGCACGAAUGGCAUAACGAGUUGACGACUGUCUCAACAAGGGACUCGGUGAAAUUGCAAGACCCGUGAAGAUGCGGGUUACCCACGGCUAGACGAAAAGACCCCGUGAAGCUUUACUACAACUUGGUAUUGAGCAUUAUAAGUGCUUGCUCAGCAUAGGUGGGACGCUUUGAAGCCCUGACUCCGGUUGGGGCUGAGCGGAAAUAUGAGAUACCACCCUGGCGGUUUUAGUGUUCUAACCUCAUGCCGUUAUCCGGCUGAGGGACAGUAUCUGGCAGGUAGUUUGACUGGGGCGGUCGCCUCCUAAAAUGUAACGGAGGCGUUUACUAAGGUUGGCUAGCUCCCGAUGGAAACGGGAGUGAUAGGGCAAACCCACAAGCCAGCUUUACUGCAAGGGCUACAACCCGAGCAGUUGCGAAAGCAGAAGUUAGUGAUCCGACGAUCCAAUAUAGGAUGGUCGAAGCUCAACGGAUAAAAGUUACUCCGGGGAUAACAGGCUGAUCGGGUCCAAGAGUCCACAUCGACGACCCGGUUUGGCACCUUACGAUGUCGGCUCAUCGCAUCCUGGGGCUGGAGAAGGUCCCAAUGGUUUGGCUGUUCGCCAAUUAAAGCGGUACGCGAGCUGGGUUCAGAACGUCGUGAGACAGUUCGGUCUCCUGUCUGUCGUGGGCGUGCGAAACUUGAGAAGGCUCUUCCCUAGUACGAGAGGACCGGGAAGAACGAACCUCUAGUGCACCAGUUGGUCUACCAAGGCCAUCGCUGGGUAGCUACGUUCGGCGCGGAUAAACGCUGAAAGCAUCUAAGCGUGAAGCCGUCUUCAAGAUUAGGUUUCGUUGAGGAACCAGAGAGAACAUCUGGUUGAUAGGUGGUAGGUGUAAGGCCCGUAAGGGUUUAAGCCGAGCCAUACUAAUCGUCCGAUGGUUUAACC
Molecule: ribosomal RNA, 3074 nt
Filed under: Parcubacteria group bacterium GW2011_GWF1_43_9
Lineage: Bacteria
Description: 23S ribosomal RNA
Rfam family: Bacterial large subunit ribosomal RNA
Source: RNAcentral